GACGAACGCUGGCGGCGUGCUUAACACAUGCAAGUCGAACGGAAAGGCCCUGCUUUUGUGGGGUGCUCGAGUGGCGAACGGGUGAGUAACACGUGAGUAACCUGUCCUUGAAUUUGGGAUAACUUCAGGAAAAUGGGGCUAAUACCGGAUAGGAGCUCCUGCUGCGUGGUGGUGGUUGGAAAGUUUCGGCGGUUGUGGCUGGUCUCGAAGCUUAUGAGCUUGUUGGUGGGGUUGUGGCUUACAAAGGGUUUGAAUGGUAGGCGGCCGGAGCGGGUGACCGGGCACAAUGGGACUGAGAUACGGCCCAGACGCCUACGGGACGCAGCAGUGGGGAAUAUGGCACAAUGAGCGGAAGCCUGAUGCAGCAACGCCGCGUGCGGGAAGACGGCCUACGGGUGGUAAACCGCUUUCGCCUGUGACGAAGCGUGAGUGACGGUAAUGGGUAAAAAAGCACCGGCUAACUACGUG
RNAcentral lists this ribosomal RNA (468 nucleotides) under uncultured bacterium. RNAcentral's name for it is "partial 16S ribosomal RNA". It matches the Rfam family "Bacterial small subunit ribosomal RNA", at positions 28 to 507 of the family's 1533-position model. The record is from RNAcentral.